This 958-nucleotide long non-coding RNA is filed under the name Pan troglodytes (chimpanzee). RNAcentral describes it as "long non-coding RNA NONPTRT008759". The record is from RNAcentral. Lineage: Eukaryota; Metazoa; Chordata; Mammalia; Primates; Hominidae.
GCGAAAAGCCUUGCAGCAGCUACAAGAAGAAUUGCAGAAUAAGAGCCAACAGCUUCGUGCCUGGGAGGCUGAAAAAUACAAUGAGAUUCGAACCCAGGAACAAAACAUCCAGCACCUAAACCAUAGUCUGAGUCACAAGGAGCAGUUGCUUCAGGAAUUUCGGGAGCUCCUACGGUAUCGAGAUAACUCAGACAAAACCCUUGAAGCAAAUGAAACGUUGCUUGAGAAACUUCGCCAGCGAAUACAUGAUAAAGCUGUUGCUCUGGAGAGCACUCCCAGGAGAUGGAAAGCCUGAGGGAGGCUCUGCUGUCCUCUCGAUCCCACCUUCAAGAGCUGGAAGAGGAGCUGGAGCACCAGAAGGUGGAAAGGCAGCAGCUUUUGGAAGACUUGAGGGAGAAGCAGUAAGAGGUCUUGCGUUUAAGGGAGGAACGUCUUUCCCUCCAGGAAAACGACUCCAGCUUACAGCCUGGAUGUCUGUCACCAAAUCCCUUUGAGCAGUGACCUGAACCACCUGGUGGCAGAGGUAUGAGCUCUGAGAGGGCAGCUGGAGAAGAGCAUUCAGGGGAACAAUUGUCUGUGACUGCAGCUGCAACAGCAGCUGGAUAGCCUGCUGGCAAAGCCAGCCUCAGCCCCUCCUCUGUUAACCAGAACUUCCCAGCCAGCGCUGACCCUGGAAACAAGCAGCUGCUCCUCCAAGGUGCUAGGCAGCAAAGGCAUUCAUGAGCUUCGGAGCAGCACCAGUGCCCUGCACCAUGCCCUAGAGGAGUCGGCUUCCCUCCUCACCAUGUUCUGGAGAGCGGCCCUGCCAAGCACCCACAUCCCUGUGCUGCCUGGCAAAGUGGUCCCGUGGUCAAAUGAUCACAGAAUGCCCCAUGAGACUGAGCCUUUUUAGCCACUGCCUGGAAUCCCAACAUACAACUUAAGCUGGCAUCGCUGGACCAGGCCUGGGGAAAGUCAG